GAUGAAGAACGCAGCGAAAUGCGAUAAGUAAUGUGAAUUGCAGAAUUCAGUGAAUCAUCGAAUCUUUGAACGCAUCUUGCGCUCCUUGGUAUUCUGAGGAGCAUGCCUGUUUGAGUGUCAUUAAAUUCUCAACCGCACUGACUUUGAAUUGGUGUGGCUUGGAUUUGGGGGGAAAAUUGUUGUGGGCUUUUUUGUAUAGUCUGCUCCCCUGAAAUUGAUUAGCGGUACCUUUGUGGAACUGUCUACAGGUGUGAUAAUUAUCUACAUCCUAGACAUCUGCUGGAAUGCUGCUUUCUAAACCUUACUUGUAUUGACAAUCUUGACCUCAAAUCAGGUGGGACUACCCGCUGAACUUAAGCAUAUCAAUAAGCGGAGGA
Molecule: unclassified non-coding RNA, 377 nt
Filed under: soil metagenome
Description: partial contains 5.8S ribosomal RNA, internal transcribed spacer 2, and large subunit ribosomal RNA
Rfam family: 5.8S ribosomal RNA (bases 1-120)
Source: RNAcentral